RNAcentral lists this ribosomal RNA (420 nucleotides) under uncultured bacterium. RNAcentral's name for it is "bacterial SSU rRNA". It matches the Rfam family "Bacterial small subunit ribosomal RNA", at positions 356 to 773 of the family's 1533-position model. The record is from RNAcentral.
AAGGAAUAUUGGACAAUGGCGGCAACGCUGAUCCAGCUAUCCCGCGUGCAGGAUGAAGGGGCUACGCCUUGUAAACUGCUUUGGACUGAGACGAAAAAAUGGGAUUCUUCCCAUAUUGACGGUAUCAGUAGAACAAGCACCGGCUAACUCCGUGCCAGCAGCCGCGGUAAUACGGAGGGUGCAAGCGUUAUCCGGAAUCACUGGGUGUAAAGGGUGCGUAGGCGGCCUGUUAAGUCAGGAGUGAAAGGCCACAGCUUAACUGUGGGAUUGCUUUUGAUACUGGCGGGCUUGGAUUAGGACGAGGUUGGCGGAAUGUGGCAAGUAGCGGUGAAAUGCAUAGAUAUGCCAUAGAAUACCGAUUGCGAAGGCAGCUGACUAGACCUAUAUUGACGCUGAGGCACGAAAGCGUGGGGAGCGAAC